UUUCCGUAGGUGAACCUGCGGAAGGAUCAUCAUAAAGUUUUAACUAAUAUCAAGGACUCUGUGAGGGGCAACCUUUGCAGAUUCUCCUUGUUAUUUAACCAAUGUGAAUUGGGGGAAGUAUAUUGAAGGACGCAAGUCUUGACUAUAUAUUGAACUCAUUUUUUCUCUUGAUGCAAAGACCAAUGUGUGUCAAAGCACAUAUGUUUUAGUGUCUUGAGAGAUAUUAACUAUUAAAAGAGUCGGAUAAAAAACAAAAAAUUAAAAACAACUUUUAACAAUGGAUCUCUUGGCUCUU
RNAcentral lists this unclassified non-coding RNA (295 nucleotides) under plant metagenome. Its description in RNAcentral is "partial contains small subunit ribosomal RNA, internal transcribed spacer 1, and 5.8S ribosomal RNA". The record is from RNAcentral.